AACGAACGCUGGCGGCAGGCCUAACACAUGCAAGUCGAGCGAAUCCUUCGGGGUGAGCGGCGGACGGGUGAGUAACGCGUGGGAACGUGCACUCUUCUACGGAAUAGCUUCGGGAAACGGAGAGUAAUGCCGUAUACGACCGCAAGGGGAAAGAUUUAUCGGAGGAGGAUCGGCCCGCGUUGGAUUAGGUAGUUGGUGGGGUAACGGCCUACCAAGCCGACGAUCCAUAGCUGGUUUGAGAGGAUGAUCAGCCACACUGGGACUGAGACACGGCCCAGACUCCUACGGGAGGCAGCAGUGGGGAAUCUUGGACAAUGGGGGCAACCCUGAUCCAGCCAUGCCGCGUGAUCGAUGAAGGCCUUAGGGUUGUAAAGAUCUUUCAGCUGGGAAGAUAAUGACGGUACCAGCAGAAGAAGCCCCGGCUAACUCCGUG
RNAcentral lists this ribosomal RNA (433 nucleotides) under uncultured bacterium. Its description in RNAcentral is "partial 16S ribosomal RNA". It matches the Rfam family "Bacterial small subunit ribosomal RNA", at positions 29 to 507 of the family's 1533-position model. The record is from RNAcentral.